RNAcentral lists this ribosomal RNA (1349 nucleotides) under metagenome. RNAcentral describes it as "bacterial LSU rRNA". It matches the Rfam family "Bacterial large subunit ribosomal RNA", at positions 1564 to 2925 of the family's 2925-position model. The record is from RNAcentral.
UGAGUGCGAGCUGCUACGGCAGCGAAGUUGGUGAUGUCAUGCUUCCAAGAAAAGCCCUAUACCCGUUAAGGCAUCAUGGCCUGUACCCGAAACCGACACAGGUGGGGUGGUAGAGAAUACCGAGGGGCGCGAGGUAACUCUCUCUAAGGAACUCGGCAAAAUGGCCCCGUAACUUCGGGAGAAGGGGUGCCACCGCAAGGUGGUCGCAGUGAAGAGGCCCAGGCGACUGUUUACCAAAAACACAGGUCUCCGCUAAGUCGCAAGACGAUGUAUGGGGGCUGACGCCUGCCCAGUGCCGGAAAGUUAGGGAAGCUGGUCAGCGCAAGCGAAGCUAGCGACUGAAGCCCCGGUGAACGGCGGCCGUAACUAUAACGGUCCUAAGGUAGCGAAAUUCCUUGUCGGGUAAGUUCCGACCCGCACGAAAGGCGUAACGAUCUGGGCGCUGUCUCGGAGAGAGGCUCGGCGAAAUAGAAUUGUCUGUGAAGAUGCGGACUACGUGCACCCGGACAGAAAGACCCUAUGAAGCUUUACUGUAGCUUGGUAUUGUGCCCGGGCUCGCAAUGCGCAGGAUAGGUGGGAGGCUUUGAUCAUCGGCUCGCGGGUCGAUGUGAGCCAACGGUGAGAUACCACUCUUUGCGAGCUAGGGUUCUAACGGCCACCCGUCAUCCGGGGGCCGGACAGUACCUGGUGGGCAGUUUGACUGGGGCGGUCGCCUCCUAAAAGGUAACGGAGGCGCGCAAAGGUUUGCUCAGGCUGGUUGGAAAUCAGCCGACGAGUGUAAAAGCAGAAGCAAGCUUGACUGUGAGACCAACAAGUCGAACAGGGAGGAAACUCGGCUUUAGUGAUCCGACGGUUCUGAGUGGAAGGGCCGUCGCUCAACGGAUAAAAGUUACUCUAGGAUAACAGGCUGAUCUCCCCCAAGAGUUCACAUCGACGGGGAGGUUUGGCACCUCGAUGUCGGCUCAUCGCAACCUGGGGCUGAAGUCGGUCCCAAGGGUUGGGCUGUUCGCCCAUUAAAGCGGUACGCGAGCUGGGUUCAGAACGUCGUGAGACAGUUCGGUCCAUAUCCGGUGCACGCGCAGGAAUAUUGAGAGGAUUUCUCCCUAGUACGAGAGGACCGGGAGGAACGCACCUCUGGUGUACCAGUUAACGUGCCAACGGUAAACGCUGGGUAGCCAUGUGCGGAGUGGAUAACCGCUGAAAGCAUCUAAGUGGGAAGCCCACCUCAAGAUGAGUAUUCCCAUGGCGUAAGCCAGUAAGGUCACGGGAAGAACACCCGUUGAUAGGCUCUAUGUGGAAGCGCAGUAAUGCGUGAAGCAGAGGAGUACUAAUAGACCGAGGGCUUGACC